AAUUGUUCUGAAAACAUCAGUCAUACAACGAACGAUUUCACUUAGUGUUCGACGGAUCUUGCUACGAUGACCCUUAAUUCUUUAAGACAGAGAUAGAGGAAUCAGAGAUCAAAGCUGUUAUAAUCUCUAGACUUCAAUUUUCGAUGCCACUUCAGAGAAAACAUCGUAUAAUUGUUGUUCCCAACAUCUACAGCAUCGAAACUUGAACUUUACAAAACUAUAACCCGUAGCAAUCCCUGCUUUCGACUACUGAGACUGAAACAAGCAAUUACAGAGGAGAAAAGAGAGAAGCAGACACAUCUCGAUAAAGAGACAUGCUUAAAGGUAUGAGCGUCUUAAAAACGAAGGGAAUCGACAACGCAUCAGUUCGAAUAGAUCGCUUAAUAUGUGAUACGAUGGUGGUUCGCGAAAUAA
Acromyrmex echinatior (Panamanian leafcutter ant) is the source of this 414-nucleotide long non-coding RNA. RefSeq lists it as uncharacterized. NCBI's taxonomy places the organism in Eukaryota, Metazoa, Arthropoda, Insecta, Hymenoptera, Formicidae. The record is from RefSeq and is a predicted model, not a curated record.